Molecule: ribosomal RNA, 449 nt
Filed under: uncultured bacterium
Lineage: Bacteria
Description: partial 16S ribosomal RNA
Rfam family: Bacterial small subunit ribosomal RNA
Source: RNAcentral
AACGAACGCUGGCGGCAUGCCUAAUACAUGCAAGUCGAACGAUCACUUCGGUGGUAGUGGCGCACGGGUGCGUAACGCGUGGGAAUCUACCCUUGGGUUCGGAAUAACAGUUAGAAAUGACUGCUAAUACCGGAUGAUGACGAAAGUCCAAAGAUUUAUCGCCCAAGGAUGAGCCCGCGUAGGAUUAGCUAGUUGGUGAGGUAAAAGCUCACCAAGGCGACGAUCCUUAGCUGGUCUGAGAGGAUGAUCAGCCACACUAGGACUGAGACACGGCCCAGACUCCUACGGGAGGCAGCAGUAGGGAAUAUUGGACAAUGGGGGCAACCCUGAUCCAGCAAUGCCGCGUGAGUGAUGAAGGCCUUAGGGUUGUAAAGCUCUUUUACCCGAGAUGAUAAUGACAGUAUCGGGAGAAUAAGCUCCGGCUAACUCCGUGCCAGCAGCCGCAGUAA